UUCAAGGCCAGGCUGGAUGGGGCUUUGAGCAACCUGUCUAGACAGAGGUGUCCCUGUCUUUAGCAGGGGGGUUGGAAUGAGAUGAUCUUAAAGAUCUUUUCCAACCCAAACCAUUCUAUGAUUCUAUGAUAUGGUUCACUCUCAUCAUUCAGUUGAGCAAAGAAGGGGGAAUAGCAAGCAGCCACUGCAGCCUUUUAAGGCUAUAAACAUAGCCUUAAUGGCUCCUUAUAGUUUUUUAAACUAGCUGAGUACAGAGUUAAACAGAAUAAUAAUCUGUCUCCCAUCCUUUUGUUUUCUCAUUGUUUGUCCUCUGUAAACACAUGAAGCACACAGCCAAUAUUGAACGGCGCACUCAGAAUUUGUGAAGCCUGCACAGAACACUAAGAAUUUGCAACUGAACUCCUUACUAAAAUCACACGCAGCAGUGAUUUCCAGGAAUGCAGUGAUGUCCAGGAAGGCACUGAUGUCCAGGAAGGACCAUAUUCCAUGGUCUUUGGAGAGAUCUUGUCGUUACUUGCCUGCUGAAUUUAGGAUCUUUGUUACCUUAAUCCUAAAUAAAACUGCUCUUAAAACGUCAUUCAAGGCCCUUUUUCAGUAUUUGUUUACCCUGAGCUGUUCUGAGGUUCUUACAAGACAUGUACACCUUUGUGCAAGUGGAAAACAUGAUUUAUUUGUAUGUCUCCUGGAUUCUUCUGUCUUGACAUGCUCCUUGAUGCAGCCUUUGAUUAUUUCAACUUAUGAACAGUCAAGAGUCCAAUGUUAAGGAAUUAUUAUACAGCAAAAAUAAUAACAAAUGAAUGAGUAGAAUUUCAGCUGUGAUCCAGAUCAGUUCUACAGAGGCUGAACCCUCCCACCAAGAUUCCAUUACAUUUGUUGCCAUGUGACAGAUGACAGCAAAAGGGCAGUCUGACAAAACUGCGUCUGACAUGGAAGUGUUUAUGAAGAACCAGUAUGGAAUUGAAUUCCUCCAUGCAGAAAAAAUGGCGCCCACUGACAUUCAUUGACACUUGCUGUAGGAUGUGAGCACAGUGAGGGGUGGACGGUGCAUUUCAGCAAUGGUGACAGCGCCAUGAAAGACAAGCCACAUUCCAGACUGCCAUGCACAGCUGUCACACCAUAAAAUGAAGAGCAUCUUGACCAACCCAUCUGAGCAAAUCAACUAAUGGUGGUGACUGUGUUGAAAAGAUAGAAUUUUUAUCUGGGAAUUACCUAUAUCAAAUAGUGUUAUUGUUCUCUUUGCACCUGCUGUAGUUUUCAUUUGUGGGUUUUAUUUUUUGUUGUUUGUUUGUUCAUUUGUUUUAAUCUUGUAUUCUGCUUCCUGUGAUUAAAAGCAAGCUGUUUACACAACGUUUAUUACUAAGCAAAGAAAGUCCUCCAUCUGAACAAAUCCAGUUGUUAUACAUGACUAUGAAACAACACAUGUUCAUAUCCAUUUCUGUACAUGUUUACAGUUCAGUGUUUCCAUCCAAUUCAUUAAACAGCUGUCUGCUCUUCUUUCAACAUUAUUUGUGCUCACAUUUACAAACCACAGGUAAUUAGAAAUAAUAUUUGAAACAAAGGCCUUUUGGGAUAUUAAUCAAUGAAAAAAAUAUUACCUGUGAGAUUUUAUAUGAUAGGCACAACUAUCAGACAGAACAUUACUCUUACUAUAUUAUUUUUGGUUUCAAGGCUUCUUAGUCAUAGUAGAAAUGCAAUAUUUUGCAGGAAAAUUCAAUACUUCAUCAGAUGCCUGAUGUAUUUUUUUAGUAUAAAUAUUACUGUGUUUAACCUCACAAUGUCUUUGGGGG
Gallus gallus (chicken) is the source of this 1787-nucleotide long non-coding RNA. The record is from Ensembl. Lineage: Eukaryota; Metazoa; Chordata; Aves; Galliformes; Phasianidae.